Molecule: long non-coding RNA, 233 nt
Filed under: Glycine max (soybean)
Lineage: Eukaryota; Viridiplantae; Streptophyta; Magnoliopsida; Fabales; Fabaceae
Description: long non-coding RNA (GMAX_LNC002703)
Source: RNAcentral
GAUAAUAUUCUUCAUUUUACCAACAUCCCAAAAAUGUGUCAAACCACAUAUAAUUGCAAAUCGAGAUUGGAGCACUCCAAACGCCCGUUCUACAUCCUUUCUUGCCGAUUCUUGUCGUUGUGCAAAUAAUUUUCGUUUUUCUCCUUGUGGCAUUGAGAUGGUCUUCACAAACGUGGCAAACUCUUGAUAAAUGUCAUCCGCUAAAUAGUAUCUCAUAUUAUAUUGGGUUCUAU